ACUUUGAUUAUGGCUCGGGACGAACGCUGGCGGCGCGCCUAACACAUGCAAGUCGAGCGGGAAGCUUUUUAAGGAUUCUUCGGAUGAAUUAAAAAGUGGAGAGCGGCGGACGGGUGAGUAACGCGUGAGAAACCUGCCCUAUACAGGGGGAUAGCCAUUGGAAACGAUGAUUAAUACCCCAUAUGACCACGGUAUCGCAUGAUACAGCGGUGAAAACUCCGGUGGUAUAGGAUGGUCUCGCGUCUGAUUAGCUAGUUGGUGGGGUAACGGCCUACCAAGGCGACGAUCAGUAGCCGGCCUGAGAGGGUGACCGGCCACACUGGAACUGAGACACGGUCCAGACUCCUACGGGAGGCAGCAGUGGGGAAUAUUGCACAAUGGGCGAAAGCCUGAUGCAGCGACGCCGCGUGAACGAUGAAGGCUUUCGAGUCGUAAAGUUCUGUUCUUGGGGAAGAUAACGACGGUACCCAAGGAGAAAGCCCCGGCUAAAUACGUGCCAGCAGCCGCGGUA
RNAcentral lists this ribosomal RNA (511 nucleotides) under uncultured bacterium. RNAcentral's name for it is "bacterial SSU rRNA". It matches the Rfam family "Bacterial small subunit ribosomal RNA", at positions 10 to 522 of the family's 1533-position model. The record is from RNAcentral.